AUUGGCUUGAUAUUGUACUGUUGGUGAUAGCUACCAUCUGGAUUUUGAUCGGUUGUGUUGGUAUAUGUUGAGUUAUUCGUAGGCUGUAUUAUUUUCUUCUGGUGUUUUGGAUAAACAUGAUUUAAUCCUGCUGUUUGAUGCUGUACGUUUAAGGUCAUAAAUCUUGUUUCGAGUAUGUCCUUAAUUUCCAAUUGUCCACUUUAUUGUCAUUCAAAUUGUUGAUGUUGUAAAGUUAAAAAAAAACAUGGUUUUGCUUGUUGAUUAUCUGUUUAAAAUUGUGCCGUCUUUAGAGCCAAUUCGUGUUUUAAUCCAAAAUUCUGGUUGGCUUUCGCAUUGAGUUCGAUUGAUUCAUUGGCAUACAGAGUUUAAGCUGAAUAAGUUUUACUGCGUGAUUCUAAAGGUUUGCUUGCCUGGUAAUGACAGAGUGCAUAGAUAAGUAAUGUCUAGCCAUCAUAUGCAUUUCGUUUCGAAUAGCAAUUUGAUGCGUUAAUUGGAAUCAUGAGUGUUAAUGUAUGGCUUUACAAGUUUUAUUGAAAAACAUGGUUUUUGCAUGUUAAUAUUGCUUAAGUUGUCACAUAUUAUGAUGGGUUUUCAUGUGUGUUCUAGGGCGUUACUGUUGGUUCGAGUCUUUUCUUCUCCCUAAGCUUUAAUUCGGAAUGAAAGUAGCAUUUAAAGCAUCACGAUAAUGACUAUUAGAAUUCUAAUUUUACAAAGUAUACAUUAGUUAGUUACACUGAAUUCCGGAUUAUGGCGUGGCUUUUCUAGUUUCGGUACUCCGUAGGAAAAGGUUGUGGAGUGGGUUUACAGCCCUAUGAUUUUUCUUGCAAUUAGAAUGACAUUCAUAAUUGAUAUUUCUUUUAUUGAAUAUUUAGAGUUGUGUUGUUGUUAUAACUAUUGUAAAUAAUAUCAUUGUUUUUUUUUAUGAAUUUAAAUCCAGUGGAUCCGACUUCUACGUGUCGAUAUACCCUCAAAAGUUUCAACACAUCGAAAGAAUAUUUUUCGCCGAGUUAUGAGUUCGCGAAUAACAUUAAUUGUUGCUAUCUCGCAUAAACCGGUCUGAACACACCGAUUCAAUUCCUAUAAAUCAAAGUUGUCACUAAUUUGUUUUUUUCAUAAAAAAUAUUAUUAGUUGAAUUUUUGUCUGAUUAAUUGCUUUUAAUUAAUUAACCUUAAUUAACUUAAUUAUUUAAGAUAAUUAAAUAGUUUUGAUAAUUAGUUUUAAUUAAUUCGAUUAAUCAACUUACUUAAAAUUUGAUAAUAAUCAAAGGAUUUUCUUUUCCAUCACCAUUUCACAAUCAUUCUUAAUUCAACUUCAUUUCAAUUCAUUAUCCAUUCAAAGCCAAUUUCAAAAAGCACAAAUCACAAUUCUCGAUUUAACAUCGAGUCCAUUUUAAAACACCCUUGUAAGUCGAUUGCUCUUCGCAUCGCCAUCAACCUCACAUAGCUUACUCUUGGGCUUUCUUACAAUGAAGCCUACUUGGUUAUUGACUAAUCGAGUAGAUGAAAUAAUACACUAAAUAAAAAUUCAUUUCAUUUAUAAACACAAAUUCCAAUCACUUUUCCAAACCAUUCAAUUUCAAAAGAAUUUUCUUUUAAACAUAAAUUUGGGAUGAAAAGGAGAUAGGAAGCGUACGCUUCACUAUUUCUCAAGCACUUGAAUAAUUGGCGUACGCCAUAUUGCGCGAGUUCUUGUCACCCGAUUAAAUCUUAAAUCACACAAUUUCAAAUCAUUUCUACAAAUUCCAAAUACUUUUAAUUCCAUAUUUCAGAUGAAAAGGAGAAUAGUGAGCAUCCGCUUCAUUAUCUCUCGAUUAUUCGAAUAAUUGGCGUACGCCACAUUGCUCGAAUCUUCGUCAUCAAUUCAAAACCACAAUCGAAUAAACCCAAACCUACCAAAAUUCAAACCAUUUUCGCACAUCAAAUGCAACAUCCAAACAUAUCUUUUACAAUUUAAACCUCGGAUGAUAAAAGAGAUAGGAGGCGUACGCCUCACCAUCUCUCAAUUAUUUGAAUAAUUGGCGAACGCCAUAUUGCACAAAUUAUCGACGUCCGACUAAAACACGCUAAAUAAACUUGGAUAAGGGAAUAAGAGACCCACCUUCAUCUCCUCCACAAAUCACCGUCAUCACGCUCACCACCACCAAACCCCAAAUCGCUUCACCUUCAAAAACCCUCAACCCUCUUCUCCUUCGUCAUCAACCGCUUCAAACCCUAUCCACCACUCUAACCAUCAAACCCUCACCGUGAAUCGCCAUCACUAACCGUGAAGCUCGCCGCCGCUCAAACCUCCGCUUCUUCACCACCAACAAACCCUCGCGAAUCCACCAUCUCCAACUCACCAUCGAAACCCAUUCACCUCACAACCCCAAAAUCGUCCACGGUUCUCCACCAGGAACAACUCCACGAACAACCACCUCCGUAAAAAACGCGACACACCACCAACACCUCAAAACCCUCGCUCCAUCCGCUACUGCAACUCUUUUACUCCACCGACAAAACGCACACAACCGUCAUUCAUUCUUGCUCAAGUAUGGAGGCCACUCACGAUCGAUUCACUAAAGCAGAGAGGCCAUUCUUUAUCGAUCCAAAAUUCUACUCAGUGAGGUUAGAUUCAUGGUUUUUGAUUCCCAGCUCCGGACUGUGACCUAGCAUUCAAACGGCACCAAGCGAGUAACUUCGAUCAACCCUUUCAUCGACUCAACUUCUAUCCAGGGCUUCAACAUUGGUUCAGCAUUACGGUAACGGUUUGCAUUACUAUUGGCUUGAUAUUGUACUGUUGGUGAUAGCUACCAUCUGGAUUUUGAUCGGUUGUGUUGGUAUAUGUUGAGUUAUUCGUAGGCUGUAUUAUUUUCUUCUGGUGUUUUGGAUAAACAUGAUUUAAUCCUGCUGUUUGAUGCUGUACGUUUAAGGUCAUAAAUCUUGUUUCGAGUAUGUCCUUAAUUUCCAAUUGUCCACUUUAUUGUCAUUCAAAUUGUUGAUGUUGUAAAGUUAAAAAAAAACAUGGUUUUGCUUGUUGAUUAUCUGUUUAAAAUUGUGCCGUCUUUAGAGCCAAUUCGUGUUUUAAUCCAAAAUUCUGGUUGGCUUUCGCAUUGAGUUCGAUUGAUUCAUUGGCAUACAGAGUUUAAGCUGAAUAAGUUUUACUGCGUG
This 3147-nucleotide long non-coding RNA is filed under the name Lathyrus oleraceus (garden pea). Its description in RNAcentral is "Pisum sativum (pea) long non-coding RNA (PSAT_LNC037689)". The record is from RNAcentral. Lineage: Eukaryota; Viridiplantae; Streptophyta; Magnoliopsida; Fabales; Fabaceae.